GACGAACGCUGGCGGCGUGCUUAACACAUGCAAGUCGAGCGGUAAGGCCCUUUCGGGGGUACACGAGCGGCGAACGGGUGAGUAACACGUGGGUGACCUGCCCUCAGCUCUGGGAUAAGCCCGGGAAACUGGGUCUAAUACCGGAUAUGACUCCACGGUGCAUGUCGUGGGUGGAAAGCCUUGUGCGGCUGAGGAUGGGCCCGCGGCCUAUCAGCUUGUUGGUGGGUGAUGGCCUACCAAGGCGACGACGGGUAGCCGGCCUGAGAGGGCGACCGGCCACACUGGGACUGAGACACGGCCCAGACUCCUACGGGAGGCAGCAGUGGGGAAUCUUGCGCAAUGGGCGAAAGCCUGACGCAGCGACGCCGCGUGA
This 373-nucleotide ribosomal RNA is filed under the name uncultured bacterium. RNAcentral's name for it is "bacterial SSU rRNA". It matches the Rfam family "Bacterial small subunit ribosomal RNA", at positions 28 to 404 of the family's 1533-position model. The record is from RNAcentral.